AGUGAACGCUGGCGGUAGGCCUAACACAUGCAAGUCGAACGGCAGCACAGUAAUAGCUUGCUCUUACGGGUGGCGAGUGGCGGACGGGUGAGGAAUACAUCGGACUCUACUUUUUCGUGGGGGAUAACGUAGGUAAACUUACUCUAAUACCGCAUCCGACCUACGGUUGAAAGCAUGGGAUCUUCGGACCUUGCGCGAUUGAAUUAGCCGAUGUCGGAUUAGAUAGUUGGCGGGGUAAAGGCCCACCCAGGCGACGAUCCGUAGCUGGUCUGAGAGGAUGAUAGGCGGCACUGGAACUGAGACACGGACAAGACGCCUAAGGGAGGCAGCAGUGGGGAAUAUUGGACAAUGGGCGCAAGCAUGAUACAGCCAGACCGCGUGGGUGAAGAAGGCCUUCGGGUUGGAAAGACCGUUUGUAGGGAAAGAAAAGCAGCAGGUUAAUACCCAGCUGUACUGACGGUAACCAAAGAAUAAGCACCGGCUAACUUCGUG
This 492-nucleotide ribosomal RNA is filed under the name uncultured bacterium. Its description in RNAcentral is "partial 16S ribosomal RNA". It matches the Rfam family "Bacterial small subunit ribosomal RNA", at positions 29 to 507 of the family's 1533-position model. The record is from RNAcentral.